This 3220-nucleotide long non-coding RNA is filed under the name Pan troglodytes (chimpanzee). RNAcentral describes it as "long non-coding RNA NONPTRT016128". Lineage: Eukaryota; Metazoa; Chordata; Mammalia; Primates; Hominidae. The record is from RNAcentral.
AAGCAAUAGAAUAUAGAUUUAAAGGAAUAGACGCAUAGAGGGAGUGUAUGCCCAGAGAAAAUUUCUAAAAAGGGGCACAAGAAAUGAUCAUUAUCUCUGAGGACUGCAGAGUUGGGAUGUCAGGAGUUUUUCAUCUUUUUCACAGCACCUCUUUCUUUUUACCAUUUGAAUUAUUUUUACCAUACAUGUGUAGUGCUGUAACAGUAAAAAGUUGUUUUUAAAGACCAGCUAUCUCAUUCAAAAAAUGAAUUCAAAGUAAAGGCCUAUGGAAAAGCAUUUCUGAUAUUAAUAACUUGAUUACACAAUCAGAAUCUUCUUCCAAGACUUCCAGCCUCCCUUUUGCAGAUGGAUCUCGGAAUUCAGGUUUCCUUCAUUAACAUCCCAGGUUGUCUCCAUGCUUUGAGGGUUUCAGUUCCAAAUUGGGUCUCUGAGAGGGAGAGGAAGCCAGAGAGACAUUCUGAGGACAAGAGAGAAAGAAGAGUCAUAAUCCUCUUAGAUAACUGGAGGUUAGUGGAGGAAAGAAUGUGAGAAGUGUUCCAGGCCCUGGUGAUAUCUAGCCCAGCCUCCCUUGCAGACAUUUGCUAUUCCAGCCAGAUCUUUCGUUCAUAUAAACCAGACACCAGGCCGGGUGCGGUGGCUCAUGCCUGUAAUCCCAGCACUUUGGGAGGCCGGGAUGGGUGUCCAGGGAUCAUGAGGUCAGGAGAUCGAGACAAUCCUGGCCAACAUGGUGAAACCCCAACUCUACCAAAACACAAAAAAUUAUCUGGGCAUGGUGGCGUGUACCUGCAGUCUUAGCUACUCAGGAGGCUGAGGCAGGGGAAUCACUUAAACCUGGGAGGUGGAGGUUACAGUGAGCCAAGAUGGUGCCACUGCACUCCAGCCUGGCAACAGAGCAAGACUCCAUCUCAAAAAAAAAAAAAAAAAAAAAAAAAAAAAAAAACAAAAAAAAAACACCAGACACCAGUUUUGCAAGUCUAGGAGGUAGGACACAGCUGUAAACUGUAACACCUGUUGGAAGGCCAGGAGCUGUGAGAGGGUUUCUAGAUUCUACAGUGGAAUUUAGUCAUCCCAGGUGAAUCUUCAUCUCUUGGGGCAAUGGUUGGAAACCCAUGUGUAAAACACAGGCAAAAAGGAGAAGGGGCUCAAUCAAGACAUUCCAGAGAAAUUAUCCAUCAACAGCAGAAAGCUCAGUAGAUGGGCAGAAGAGGGGCACUUCACUACAUGGAUUGGGGGCCAAACUUGUCAAAUCCUUCAGAGAAAGUGUGGCUGAGGUGGAGAAUGAGGUGGGGGAAUCAAAAGCGGGAUUUGAGAGCUGGAGCUUGGGCACCAGCCCUUUCAUCCCCAUGUAAAUUAAUGAAUGCAUGAUAGUCUCUUAAGAUUUUGCUUCUCACAGUGUGAUCCCAGAGGUGUCUAAAAGAACAGACAACUGGCCGGGUGCGGUGGCUCACACCUGUAAUCCCAGCACUUUCGAAGGCUGAGAUGGGUGGAUCGGGAAGUCAAGAGAUCAAGACCAUCCUGACCAACAUGGUGAAAUCCUGUCUCUACUAAAAAUACAAAACUUAGCUGGGUGUGGUGGUGCGCGCCUGUGUUCCCAGCUACUUAGGAGGCUGAGGCAGGAGAAUCACUUGAACCCGGGAGGCGGAGGUUGCAGUGAGCUGAGAUCGCACCACUGUACUCCAGCUUGGCUACAGAGCUAGACUCCCUCUCAAAAAAAAAAAAAAAAAAAGAAGAAGAAGAAGAAGAAGAAGAAGAAGAAGAAGAACAGAGAACCACAAGAAUCAAGGACUCCUGGACCUGGGAAAGGCCCUUGCUUCAUGAAGGAGCCCAGGGCCGGUGCUGAGGUUCCCAGCCAAAGGGAAUGCAAACUCAUUCUGUAACUCAUUUUCUUUCCUGCUGGGACUAUUUCUGAUCACAGGCUAUGCGUGCGAGUACCAUUCAUGUUUCUUGAAGCUAUUUGGAGUAUUUUGGAGGCUAUAUCCAAAGGCCAUUUCUGGAGUUCUUAGCUAAAUGAUUAAAAUAAACAACAACAACAAACCUAAAAUCAACAACAUGACCUCUGCCAAUUUUCCUAUCACCCGUUGGAAUCUCUGGUCAAGAAACUGCAAAUAUUAAUAUUUCACUGGGAUGUUUGGUGGGAAGUAGGGAGGGAAAUGUCCAUACCAAAAGCUUCCAAGUGAAAUGUUCUGGCUGACACCUCCAAGAGAAAGUGAAAGCUAGAAUGGCAGAAGCCAUUGGUGGAGAAGGAACAUGCAGGCAGGAGAAGUCCCUGGAACCUGGAUGGAAAGAAAGUCGGAAUAGACUUCUUCAUGGGCUGCAGAAAGAAAAAGUCUUGGCUGUGAUGAGAGGACUGUUUCCAGCAGGCAAAUUUCAGCAGCUUAAUCUCAGUCACAAAGGAGAUCUUAUCCAUGAGACAGGAGCUCAGGUGCCACAGAGAAAUCUGUCUGGGGAGUCUGCAGGCGGCCACAUGUGCCAGUGAUGAAGACAGAUUCCACUGGAGCCACUGAGCACCAUCUUAGCACCCUGCAGGGCCAAGAAGCCACACCAGCCCCAGGGAAGAGAUAAUUUGCAAGGCAGCUAAUGGCACGCACCAUUCUCCUCACUUCCUUCCCAGCCUUUUUAUCUUCUCCAAUGUGCUGGAAAAAGAGAUUUUGAUGGAAACUAGAAUACCCAUGAAGAGUAAGGUUGAGGUCAUGGAAGAUGAAGAUUAAGAGUGAAGAAAAAGAGCAAGUGGAGGAACAAACACAAAAUUAAAUAAAUCACAGAAAUGCUUGACACUUCAGGUUGAAGAUGCUCUCAGUGUAUCAGGUUGUGUUUUGUUUUGUCUUUUUACCUUAGAAAAUGAGAAGACACACCUAUAUUUAUCCCAGUGAAAUUUCAGAUUUUCAAAGAUAAAGGAAAAUUCCCAAAGGACAUAGACAGUAAAACCAGGUUAACUAUAGGAUUUGUCUCCAGGCUUCUCUGCAAUAUAAUCAUGCCAAAGAUCAUGGAAUAAGAUCCACAGAGUUUAGAGGGGAAAGGAUGUGGCUCAUGACUUGUAAACCAGGACAAUUUAUCAUCAUAGCAUCAGAAAAUGACAAACGUAGUUUGAGAUAGGCAAGUAUUCCAAGAGCAAAUUAUCCAUGUUACAGUAAAAAUAUCCAGGAAGAAAGUGAAAGAGGUAAACAAUAGUGAUACCAAUGAAACAAAGUAUCCCAGUGAAUAAUUGCUGUUUCUGUGGUUA